GAUCAUGGCUCAGGACGAACGCUGGCGGCGUGCCUAACACAUGCAAGUCGAACGGAGAUGUUAUUCGGUAGAUAUCUUAGUGGCGCACGGGUGAGUAACGCGUGAAUAACCUGACCCGAAGAGGGGGAUAACACCUGGAAACAAGUGCUAAUACCGCAUAAGACCACAGACCGGCAUCGGUCAGAGGUCAAAGGAGAAAUCCGCUUGGGAGGGUUCGCGUCCCAUUAGGUAGUUGGUGAGGUAACGGCCCACCAAGCCGACGAUGGGUAGCCGAGCCGAGAGGCUGAUCGGCCACACUGGAACUGAGACACGGUCCAGACUCCUACGGGAGGCAGCAGUGGGGAAUAUUGGGCAAUGGGCGCAAGCCUGACCCAGCAACGCCGCGUGAGGGAAGAAGGUUUUCGGAUUGUAAACCUCUGUCGCAGGGGACGAAGGAAGUGACGGUACCCUGUAAGAAAGCCCCGGCUAACUACGUG
Molecule: ribosomal RNA, 476 nt
Filed under: uncultured bacterium
Lineage: Bacteria
Description: bacterial SSU rRNA
Rfam family: Bacterial small subunit ribosomal RNA
Source: RNAcentral